AGACAGCUUCUCUCAGCAGGUGAAGAACCUGAUUUUCCGGAAAUUGAGCCAAGAGUAAAGCCUGAGCCCUGGGUUUGGCUCACAAUGGUGGCAAGAGAAAGAGGAUGAGCGGUGGCCCAAGGGACGAAAGCAGUCAAGAGGCCCUGCCCAGUGGAGUAGAGCGUGGAGCAGGUGUUUGAGGCUGGCACACCCAGGGCAGGUUCGCGAGUCUCUAAGCCCAAGUUUCCUGGCCUCUAAAAGGGAUUCGGUGCUAACUGCCUUGCAGGGGAGCCCCGUGUGGAAGCUUUGCGGGAUGGACACCCCUCUCUCAAGUUUAGAUAUUAGGCAAACGAGAAGGCCCUGAGUAAUGGAAACCAAGGCACAGAGAAGGGGUGGCAUUAGGGUCACAGCAUGAACAAGACUGGGAAAGAGCGUGGGGCUGCCUCAUCCUGCUUUCCCACAGGAAGAAAUCAAGGCAGCAAGACUUUGAGGCCCUCAAUCACAGGAGACCACAGGAGACUGGCUGGUUUGGUCCCAUCUGUCUGGGCCUUGAUUAGGAUAACUGUCCUUGCUCCCUGGUUUCAGGACCAUCAGUCUCCGUACCCCAGCCCAGAGGGCGCCUGGAGUGCUGCGGGCUGAGACGAGCCGGACGUCCUUGGGAGGCUCGUUCUUCAUGCUGCGCAGAACCACUCGGCUCGGCAUCGAGGCCUGUGUGAAGGCCCAGGCCCAGGGCCCGCCCUUAGGCCUCCGUCCCAGAUGGAAUUAAUGGAAUUGGAUUGCGUCUUUGUCAUCUUGUGCUCACAGACCCUAGCGGGCUUGUGACAAGAAAGAAUUAGGGCAUAGCUCAAACAGAAAAGUGGAAAAAGAAACGGGCGAAAGCCCACAGGGAGGACUCUCUAUUUCCUUAUCUGUCUGCCGUCCCAAAUAGCUCUGCUCUCCUCCCCAAUUUGUGUUUAUGUGUCACGUUUCUUUCUCUUGCAGCAGAUGCCACUGGGCUGACUGUCCUAAACUGGGUCAGAGAGUGGUGGUGAAUUGACACAGUCCCUCCGGCGGUAUCUUCCUGUGUCCUCACUCCCCCUCCAGUCCCCCAGCCUGCUUUCCGUGGCGUCUGAGGGUGGUCCCUGUCCCCAGAACCACAGGGACUCAGGGAGUUUCCUGCCACUCCAGGACCUCAGCGCUCGUAGCUGGGAGACAGGAAGGCAUCCUUGACUGUCCUCAACCCUUUUGCUUCUCCAGGGUCCCCAGCUUCUCGUUUCAUCUCACUAAGCACUGAUAAAUGAUUUCAGAGAACUCCAACCCACUUGCCACAGCCUGGUGUAGUGUGGCAGCAAUGCCGCACUGGGUGGAGAAUCAAAUCAGCCAUGUUUCAAACUCCAUGGAACAGAAACCAAAGAAAUCAGUGGAUUGCCCAACGUAACGCAGUAAAGGGAAGAGUCCAGGGUCACACUCCCACUGACCAUUCCUACUCCAGUGCACACUGUAGUCUACCUUUUGCUGCUUCAUUUAAAGCAUGCACUACUGAGAGUCUAGCUCUUUUCUUGAUGUCCUCUGUUAAGAAUCUAGGUCCAGGGCUGGGAUUGUAGCUCGGCGGUAGAGUGCUUGCCUUGCAAGCAUGAGGUACUGGGUUCGAUCCUUGGCACCACAUAAAAAAACAAACAAAAAUAAAGAUAUUGUGUCCAUCUAUAACUAAAAAAAA
RNAcentral lists this long non-coding RNA (1675 nucleotides) under Marmota marmota marmota (Alpine marmot). Its description in RNAcentral is "lncRNA (ENSMMMG00000012457.1)". The stretch from base 1553 to 1621 matches the Rfam family "tRNA". Lineage: Eukaryota; Metazoa; Chordata; Mammalia; Rodentia; Sciuridae. The record is from RNAcentral.